GAGCACGUAGGUGGGUUUGUAAGUCAGAUGUGAAAGCCUCCUGUUCAACGGGAGAAUUGCAUCUGAAACUACUGAUCUUGAGUGUAGGAGGGGAGAAUGGAACUUCUGGUGGAGCGGUGAAAUGCGUAGAUAUCAGAAGGAACGCCGGCGGCGAAAGCGAUUCUCUGGCCUAUUACUGACACUCAGUGUGCGAAAGCUAGGGGAGCAAACGGGAUUAGAUACCCCGGUAGUCCUAGCCGUAAACGAUGGGCACUAAGUAGAGGGGUUAG
This 269-nucleotide ribosomal RNA is filed under the name uncultured Planctomycetota bacterium. RNAcentral's name for it is "uncultured planctomycete partial 16S ribosomal RNA". It matches the Rfam family "Bacterial small subunit ribosomal RNA", at positions 565 to 832 of the family's 1533-position model. Lineage: Bacteria; Pseudomonadati; Planctomycetota. The record is from RNAcentral.